Molecule: ribosomal RNA, 59 nt
Filed under: Sarmentypnum exannulatum
Lineage: Eukaryota; Viridiplantae; Streptophyta; Bryopsida; Hypnales; Amblystegiaceae
Description: partial 25S ribosomal RNA
Source: RNAcentral
CAGACCUCUAAUCGGAAAAGACUACCCGCUGAGUUUAAGCAUAUCACUAAAGCGGAGGA